Molecule: ribosomal RNA, 429 nt
Filed under: Actinomycetes bacterium
Lineage: Bacteria; Bacillati; Actinomycetota; Actinomycetes
Description: Actinobacteria bacterium partial 16S ribosomal RNA
Rfam family: Bacterial small subunit ribosomal RNA
Source: RNAcentral
UAGGGAAUCUUCCGCAAUGGGCGAAAGCUUGACGGAGCAACGCCGCGUGAGCGAUGAAGGUCUUCGGAUCGUAAAACUCUGUUAUUAGGGAAGAACAAAUGUGUAAGUAACUAUGCACGUCUUGACGGUACCUAAUCAGAAAGCCACGGCUAACUACGUGCCAGCAGCCGCGGUAAUACGUAGGUGGCAAGCGUUAUCCGGAAUUAUUGGGCGUAAAGCGCGCGUAGGCGGUUUUUUAAGUCUGAUGUGAAAGCCCACGGCUCAACCGUGGAGGGUCAUUGGAAACUGGAAAACUUGAGUGCAGAAGAGGAAAGUGGAAUUCCAUGUGUAGCAGUGAAAUGCGCAGAGAUAUGGAGGAACACCAGUGGCGAAGGCGACUUUCUGGUCUGUAACUGACGCUGAUGUGCGAAAGCGUGGGGAUCAAACAGG